GGCAUGGUGCUGCAGUGGAUAGCACUGUCGCCUCUCAGCAAGAAGGUUCUGGGUUUGAAUCCCAGCCAAUUUU
RNAcentral lists this transfer RNA (73 nucleotides) under Anguilla anguilla (European eel). RNAcentral's name for it is "tRNA-OTHER". Lineage: Eukaryota; Metazoa; Chordata; Actinopteri; Anguilliformes; Anguillidae. The record is from RNAcentral.